This 253-nucleotide ribosomal RNA is filed under the name uncultured bacterium. RNAcentral's name for it is "partial 16S ribosomal RNA". It matches the Rfam family "Bacterial small subunit ribosomal RNA", at positions 524 to 776 of the family's 1533-position model. The record is from RNAcentral.
UACGUAGGGUGCAAGCGUUGUCCGGAAUUAUUGGGCGUAAAGAGCUCGUAGGCGGUCUGUCGCGUCGAAUGUGAAAACCCGGGGCUCAACCCCGGGCCUGCAUUCGAUACGGGCAGACUAGAGUUCGGUAGGGGAGUCUGGAAUUCCUGGUGUAGCGGUGAAAUGCGCAGAUAUCAGGAAGAACACCCGUGGCGAAGGCGGCUCUCUGGGACGGUACUGACGCUGAGACGCGAAAGCGUGGGGAGCGAACAGG